AAAUUGAAGAGUUUGAUCAUGGCUCAGAUUGAACGCUGGCGGCAGGCCUAACACAUGCAAGUCGAACGGUAACAGGAAGCAGCUUGCUGCUUCGCUGACGAGUGGCGGACGGGUGAGUAAUGUCUGGGAAACUGCCUGAUGGAGGGGGAUAACUACUGGAAACGGUGGCUAAUACCGCAUAACGUCGCAAGACCAAAGAGGGGGACCUUCGGGCCUCUUGCCAUCAGAUGUGCCCAGAUGGGAUUAGCUAGUUGGUGAGGUAACGGCUCACCAAGGCGACGAUCCCUAGCUGGUCUGAGAGGAUGACCAGCCACACUGGAACUGAGACACGGUCCAGACUCCUACGGGAGGCAGCAGUGGGGAAUAUUGCACAAUGGGCGCAAGCCUGAUGCAGCCAUGCCGCGUGUAUGAAGAAGGCCUUCGGGUUGUAAAGUACUUUCAGCGGGGAGGAAGGUGUUGUGGUUAAUAACCGCAGCAAUUGACGUUACCCGCAGAAGAAGCACCGGCUAACUCCGUGCCAGCAGCCGCGGUAAUACGGAGGGUGCAAGCGUUAAUCGGAAUUACUGGGCGUAAAGCGCACGCAGGCGGUCUGUCAAGUCGGAUGUGAAAUCCCCGGGCUCAACCUGGGAACUGCAUUCGAAACUGGCAGGCUUGAGUCUUGUAGAGGGGGGGUAGAAUUCCAGGUGUAGCGGUGAAAUGCGUAGAGAUCUGGAGGAAUACCGGUGGCGAAGGCGGCCCCCUGGACAAAGACUGACGCUCAGGUGCGAAAGCGUGGGGAGCAAACAGGAUUAGAUACCCUGGUAGUCCACGCCGUAAACGAUGUCUACUUGGAGGUUGUGCCCUUGAGACGUGGCUUCCGGAGCUAACGCGUUAAGUAGACCGCCUGGGGAGUACGGCCGCAAGGUUAAAACUCAAAUGAAUUGACGGGGGCCCGCACAAGCGGUGGAGCAUGUGGUUUAAUUCGAUGCAACGCGAAGAACCUUACCUCUGGUCUUGACAUCCACAGAACUUUCCAGAGAUGGAUUGGUGCCUUCGGGAACUGUGAGACAGGUGCUGCAUGGCUGUCGUCAGCUCGUGUUGUGAAAUGUUGGGUUAAGUCCCGCAACGAGCGCAACCCUUAUCCUUUGUUGCCAGCGAUUAGGUCGGGAACUCAAAGGAGACUGCCAGUGAUAAACUGGAGGAAGGUGGGGAUGACGUCAAGUCAUCAUGGCCCUUACGACCGUGGCUACACACGUGCUACAAUGGCGCAUACAAAGAGAAGCGACCUCGCGAGAGCAAGCGGACCUCAUAAAGUGCGUCGUAGUCCGGAUUGAGUCUGCAACUCGACUCCAUGAAGUCGGAAUCGCUAGUAAUCGUGGAUCAGAAUGCCACGGUGAAUACGUUCCCGGGCCUUGUACACACCGCCCGUCACACCAUGGGAGUGGGUUGCAAAAGAAGUAGGUAGCUUAACCUUCGGGAGGGCGCUUACCACUUUGUGAUUCAUGACUGGGGUGAAGUCGUAACAAGGUAACCGUAGGGGAACCUGCGGUUGGAUCACCUCCUUACCUUAAAGAA
Molecule: ribosomal RNA, 1554 nt
Filed under: Salmonella enterica
Lineage: Bacteria; Pseudomonadati; Pseudomonadota; Gammaproteobacteria; Enterobacterales; Enterobacteriaceae
Description: bacterial SSU rRNA
Rfam family: Bacterial small subunit ribosomal RNA
Source: RNAcentral